UACGUAGGGUGCAAGCGUUAAUCGGAAUUACUGGGCGUAAAGCGUGCGCAGGCGGUUUUCCAAGACAGAUGUGAAAUCCCCGGGCUCAACCUGGGAAUGGCAUUUGUGACUGGAAGGCUAGAGUGUGUCAGAGGGGGGUAGAAUUCCACGUGUAGCAGUGAAAUGCGUAGAGAUGUGGAGGAAUACCGGUGGCGAAGGCGGCAUCCUGGACCGGCAUUGACGCUGAGUGAGCGAAAGCCAGGGGGAGCAAACGGG
Molecule: ribosomal RNA, 255 nt
Filed under: uncultured bacterium
Lineage: Bacteria
Description: partial 16S ribosomal RNA
Rfam family: Bacterial small subunit ribosomal RNA
Source: RNAcentral